CUCUCGUAUCUAUAUUGCCACAGAAUGCCAUCCCAGCCUUGUAUAUAUUUCUAUGCUGUGUCUCAUCUUGUCUAUAUCUCAAUUGCUUGGGGCUCAUAAACCUCACGCACAACCAUCAAAUGUGAUCCAUCUCAGAUCGAGAUGCCUACAAUUUUUAUGAGGUUUUUCGUCUGCUCUUUUCGUCACUUCGACAAGGGAAUGGGAGGGAGGGAGGAUGUCAAAGUUGUCGCCACUGAUUUACGGCCAGGGAGAGUUGUCAGUUCAUUUCUGAGUGUGUUUUUCUGUGUUUUAAAACUUGGCAUUGACAUUGGCUCCAUAACAUUUUAAUGGGGUGCUGGCAGGUGCUAAGGAGGUUCUUCGCUCUCUCUCUCGCUUCCUGUUGCGGUUAGCUCCAGCCGCAGUCUAGGGGGAAUUGGCAGCUCUGGUUUCUGUCCCUUUGCCUUUGGGGGCUGGUUCAAAUUGAUUUGUAAUUAGUUGCAGUUGCAGUCAACAAUGUGAUUAUCUCGGCAUUUGGCAUGGGCUCUCCACCACAAGAGUAGCCGGAGGUGGAGCUGUAGCUGGAACAGAAGGUGGAGCAGCGGCAGCGGUCUAAGGUUACACAGAUGUGCGCAGGCGUGGCCCAGACCUCAUCUCAUCUCAUCUCAUCUCGUUUCAAGAAGCGCAUCCACUUGAGGCUCGGUCGUGUGCAUAAAUUAUAUCCAAGGCUAAACAUUAGCCCGGGCAAUUGACAGCUCCCUUAAGUAGUCAUCUAUCCAUGACACAUGUACAUGUCCAUGUACAUAUGGACAAGGAUGUAGGGGAGGGCACUGAGUAACUUGUAAACGCAUCUGUGGCCAGGGAUCCUGUGGACAGCCGAUCCUCUGCCAUGUGUCAGCAACUGUGGCCGCUCUGCGAUAUCCCAUUCACAGCCGCUGACAGUCGUUCGGGCUCGGAUUUGGUUUCGGUUUUUGUGGUGUAAAUCAUUGAAUGGGAUUUGUCAACCAUUUUGCGGUUUCCAUUUAAUGAAUACUUUUCGCCCGUCCAUCUGUGUGCUCCUCUUUUUUCAUGCUCUUUCAGAGCAGUUAUUAAAUUAGAGUUUAAUCCAGUGCGGACACGGCUCUGUGC
Molecule: long non-coding RNA, 1104 nt
Filed under: Drosophila guanche
Lineage: Eukaryota; Metazoa; Arthropoda; Insecta; Diptera; Drosophilidae
Source: RNAcentral